RNAcentral lists this ribosomal RNA (427 nucleotides) under uncultured bacterium. RNAcentral describes it as "bacterial SSU rRNA". It matches the Rfam family "Bacterial small subunit ribosomal RNA", at positions 354 to 796 of the family's 1533-position model. The record is from RNAcentral.
GUGGGGGAUAUUGCACAAUGGGGGAAACCCUGAUGCAGCGACGCCGCGUGAGGGAAGAAGGUCUUCGGAUUGUAAACCUCUGUCUUCGGGGACGAACACAAUGACGGUACUCGAGGAGGAAGCCACGGCUAACUACGUGCCAGCAGCCGCGGUAAAACGUAGGUGGCAAGCGUUGUCCGGAAUUACUGGGUGUAAAGGGAGCGCAGGCGGAGCUGUAAGUUGGGCGUCAAAUCUACGGGCUUAACCCGUAUCCGCGCUCAAAACUGUGGCUCUUGAGUAGUGCAGAGGUAGGUGGAAUUCCCGGUGUAGCGGUGGAAUGCGUAGAUAUCGGGAGGAACACCAGUGGCGAAGGCGGCCUACUGGGCACCAACUGACGCUGAGGCUCGAAAGUAUGGGUAGCAAACAGGAUUAGAUACCCUAGUAGUCC